Molecule: ribosomal RNA, 252 nt
Filed under: uncultured bacterium
Lineage: Bacteria
Description: partial 16S ribosomal RNA
Rfam family: Bacterial small subunit ribosomal RNA
Source: RNAcentral
UACGUAGGUGGCAAGCGUUGUCCGGAUUACUGGGCGUAAAGAGCGCGCAGGCGGUCGUUCAAGUCGCGUGUGAAAGCCCCCGGCUCAACUGGGGAGGGUCACGCGAUACUGAUCGACUCGAAGGCAGGAGAGGGUAGUGGAAUUCCCGGUGUAGUGGUGAAAUGCGUAGAUAUCGGGAGGAACACCAGUGGCGAAGGCGACUACCUGGCCUGUUCUUGACGCUGAGGCGCGAAAGCUAGGGGAGCAAACGGG